UCUCCGUAGGUGAACCUGCGGAGGGAUCAUUACUGAGCGAGGGUCUCCCGGCCCGUCCUCCAACCCUUUGUUGUUAAAAAUACCUUGUUGCUUUGGCGGGACCGCUCGGUCUCGAGCCGCUGGGGAUUCGUCCCAGGCGAGCGCCCGCCAGAGUUAAACCAAACUCUUGUUAUUAAACCGGUCGUCUGAGUUAAAAUUUUGAAUAAAUCAAAACUUUCAACAACGGAUCUCUUGGUUCUCGCAUCGAUGAAGAACGCAGC
This 260-nucleotide unclassified non-coding RNA is filed under the name uncultured fungus. RNAcentral describes it as "sequence contains ITS1, 5.8S rRNA gene". The stretch from base 212 to 260 matches the Rfam family "5.8S ribosomal RNA", at positions 1 to 49 of the family's 154-position model. The record is from RNAcentral. Lineage: Eukaryota; Fungi.